Molecule: long non-coding RNA, 2065 nt
Organism: Olea europaea var. sylvestris
Lineage: Eukaryota; Viridiplantae; Streptophyta; Magnoliopsida; Lamiales; Oleaceae
Exons: 2
Source: RefSeq, a predicted model, not a curated record
AUAUAAACAUUUUCAUAAAAAGAAAUAGUGACAUGCCAAAUAAAAAAAUCUCCCCCUUCGAUCAUUAGGGGACCCGGCUCAGUUUGCAUAGGAAAAUCCUUCACUUCAUACCUAUCACCAACCAGCCUAGAAUUUAGCUUUUCGUUACCCUCAACAGCAAAUUCGAAUGGAGCAUUAGGGCUAUACUCUCCAUCCAGAAAGGGAGACCCCCACAAAGGAGCAGAAUCCAACUGCACUCCUAGCCAAUCAAGAAACUCAUUUCAUCAGUGCCUUCUUGUGAAUGUUGGUCAACUUCGAGCAAUUGUCUUCGCAGAUCCAAACGUGUUCACAAGGUGGUUUGGUUACACAGGCUUCUAUAUGAUCUUGGGGUUCAUCUCACCGCUGCAACGCCUCUCGGAUGGACUUCGGCAUUCUUUCCCAACUCAAAUUGAAAAGGGCUGUUUGAAGUGCAAGGGGUAAACUCGAAUGUGAUAGAACUAUGCGUAUCGAGCCUUUGAGAUGUUUACCCAAUAAUUCUAUUUAUUUGAUUUAGGCAGUGACAUCAAUAGUCUCGUGCCGAGCUGACAGACCAAUAAGAAUAAAGGUGCCGUCCUAAAGCUUCGCAUCGAUCACAAAACUAUCUUCCAAAUCAAAAGAAAAAGGGCUCGUUGGACAUCUAGAAAGGGAGACCCCCAGUGAACUCAUCCCAUCUGUGCCUUCUUGUGAGUGCUAGUUGACUAACAUCCUUGCGGGCUUCCUUGCCCCUAGACCAUAGAGAAUAAAGCCAACAAUGCUAUUCUGGACUCACUCAAUGGUUGGGCUUGCCCUGCAAAGAUCUUCUUUUGAAUAGGAAAAUUUCCGUUGCUCCACAAGCAUUCAUGGCAAAAAGCUAUAGUUUUGCAGGACUCAGAAGAGAUGGCAAGCAGUGCAAGAUAUUUGCAUGAUUUUUCAAGGUUCAAAACACUGUAGAAAAGUCGCAGAAGGCUUCCCACAUGAUAAAUAUAGCACAACUAUAGCUACAAAUUGUACUUUCCACACUUGCAACAUUGCAUGUAUAUGACUAUUUUUGUCACAUAGCUUUUCUUUUAAUCACGUAUAACAUACUCAUUUCUCUAUUCUAUACCUAGAACCAACCCCAUUCCACUCCCCACAACAUCAGGUAAGUGAUCCCAUCUUUAACAUCAGGAGUAAAGAUAGGAAAAUCUGAAAACGACAAUAUGAAGCAAGAGAAUAUUUUCAGUUAAGAGAGAGAGAGAAGUGACACAAGAAUUCUGAUUAGGACUUCGAGACCAUUUUUGCAACAGACCCACUAAAUUGCCCAAUAUUUAGAAGUAGAUGAAUCAACCAUGGAAAUGUUAUAACACCAAGAGGGAUCGUUGUUUGUUCUCUUACUAGGCCCAAAUAGUAAAUUGGGAGAUUGACUACAUUCAUUUUGAACCAAGAUGUCGAAGGUUGAUAAUAUUGUCCCGGCAAAUAUAUGUACGCAUUGCACACUUGUACCUAGAAUACGUGAAGUAUUAUAAUACAUUCCUGUCUAGAAAUGAAUCAUAUGGUGAACAAUACGAAAACUGGCAACAUGACCGAUGGAAAAUCAUCUAUGAUGAGAAUUGUAAAGCUGUAGAGGAGAUCUUUCUAUCUGGUUUUGAUCGUGGUUCUAGUACAAAACCUGUGUUUCUAUUCAAGAACACUAGGCAUCAAAGUAUUGACAUUUCAUAGCUAUGUCACGCAUUGUCGUUGACAGUUAAGAGGCAUGAAUGUCAAUUAGAUGAUCAAAUUUAAGUUGAGUAAUCAAGAUAAAUUGAAAAUAUAACUCUAGUGACGAGAAGCAAAAUUUUUAAAACUCACUCUUGGUCCAGACUAUCCUUCUCGUAUAUGCAUAACAAACAUCCCCAAGCAACCAAAACUCGUGAGACAAUUCAGUAGUUACUACAGUAAUUUUCCAAAAACCGAAAAGAAUCCGGCAACAAUUGAUACGAAUCUCACUUAUGUGCAUGAUACAUACAAUACCCAACUAAUCAUGUGCUCCGGGAUCCUGCUCCUUCAUUGUCAAAUGAUCUUGUAUGAUAUGUUGCGAGGGAGAAGAAAA